GUUCGGUGGAUGCCUUGGCAUCAGGGGCCGAUGAAGGACGUGGUGGCCUGCGAUAUUCCUCGGGGAGCCGGCUGGCGGGCUGUGAUCCGAGGGUUUCCGAAUGGGGGGACCCGGCACGAGUUAUGUCGUGUCACCUGCAUCUGAAUUGUAUAGGGUGUGGGGGGUGACGCGGGGAAGUGAAACAUCUUAGUACCCGUAGGAGAAGAUAUUCCGUGAGUAGUGGCGAGCGAAAGCGGAUGAUGGUUAAACCGUGUGCGUGUGAUACUCGGCAGGGGUUGCGUGUGCGGGGUUGUGGGGCUGUCCUGUUCUCUUCUGCCGGAGAGGGGGCGCGUGUGCUGGCCGGUAGCUGAAUCGUCUGGGAAGGCGUGGCGUAGUGGGUGAUACCCCCGUAGGCGGAACUGGUUGGUGCGUGUCUGGGACGGUUUGCCCGAGUAGCACGGGGCUCGUGGAAUCCUGUGUGAAUCUGCCAAGACCACUUGGCUGCCUGAAUACCUCCUGAUGACCGAUAGUGGAUAGUACCGUGAGGGAAUGGUGAAAAGUACCCCGGGAGGGGAGUGAAAUAGUACCUGAAACCGGGCGCUUACAAGCCGUCAGAGCCUUCCGCACCUUGUGUGUGGGGGUGGUGGCGUGCCUUUUGAAGAAUGAGCCUGCGAGUCAGUGGCGUGUCGCGAGGUUAACCCGUGUGGGGUAGCCGUAGCGAGAGCGAGUCCGAAUAGGGCGAUUGUAGUGGCGCGUUCUGGACCCGAAGCGGGGUGAUCUACCCAUGGCCAGGUUGAAGCACGUGUAAGAGCGUGUGGAGGACCGAACCCACCUAGGUUGAAAACUGGGGGGAUGAGCUGUGGGUAGGGGUGAAAGGCCAAUCAAACUCCGUGAUAGCUGGUUCUCCCCGAAAUGCAUUUAGGUGCAGCGUUGCGUGGUCCCUGGUGGAGGUAGAGCUACUGGAUGGCCGAUGGGCCCGAUGGGUUACUGACGUCAGCCAAACUCCGAAUGCCAUUAGGUGUAGCGUGGCAGUGAGACUGCGGGGGAUAAGCUUCGUAGUCGAGAGGGAAACAGCCCAGAUCAUCAGCUAAGGCCCCUAAGCGUACGCUAAGUGGGAAAGGAUGUGGAGUCGCGGUGACAACCAGGAGGUUGGCUUAGAAGCAGCCAUCCUUGAAAGAGUGCGUAAUAGCUCACUGGUCAAGUGGUUCUGCGCCGACAAUGUAGCGGGGCUCAAGCGUACCGCCGAAGCUGUGGCAACGACACGUGAUGCUGGCGCCAGGAACUGGAGUGCUGGUGUGUUGUUGGGUAGGGGAGCGUCCUGCACGAGGUGAAGCCUGGAGGGAACUUCUGGUGGAUUGUGUGGGAGUGAGAAUGCAGGCAUGAGUAACGAAUCUGCGGUGAGAAUCCGCAGCGCCGAUUGACUAAGGGUUCCAGGGCUAGGUUUAUCCGCCCUGGGUUAGUCGGGUCCUAAGGCGAGGCCGACAGGCGUAGUCGAUGGACAACCAGUUGAUAUUCUGGUACCGCGUUGUGACCGCCCAUGCUGAGGUCAUUGUGCUAACCAAUUUGCCCGCGCCCCGCCUCCGCUUUCGGGUGGUGGUGGUGUGUGUGGGUCUUGGGGUCCCGGUGAUGGUAGGCAAGCGUGUUAACAGGGGUGACGCAGACAGGUAGCUGCAGUGCGCCGAUGGUUGUGCGUAUUUAAGGUUGUGGCCCGUCUCCCAGGUAAAUCCGGGGGACGUUAGGGUGAGAACUGAUGAGGGACACACGCGUGUGUGGACUUGUGGUGAUCCUAUGCUGCCAAGAAAAGCCUCGACGUGAGGGCAUGACGCGCCCGUACCCUAAACCGACUCAGGUGGUCAGGUAGAGUAUACCGAGGCGUUCGAGUGAAUCAUGGUUAAGGAACUCGGCAAAAUUCCUCCGUAACUUCGGGAUAAGGAGGACCCCGUGACUUCCCUUCGCCGCGCGUGGGGGUGGGGUUGUGGGGUCGCAGAGAAUAGGGAGAAGCGACUGUUUAUCAAAAACACAGGUGCGUGCGAAGCCGUAAGGCGAUGUAUACGCACUGACGCCUGCCCGGUGCUGGAAGGUUAAGAGGAACCGUUAACACCCCCCGGGGUGUGAAGCGGUGAAUUUAAGCCCCAGUAAACGGCGGUGGUAACUAUAACCAUCCUAAGGUAGCGAAAUUCCUUGUCGGGUAAGUUCCGACCUGCACGAAUGGCGUAACGACUUC
RNAcentral lists this ribosomal RNA (2203 nucleotides) under human metagenome. RNAcentral's name for it is "bacterial LSU rRNA". It matches the Rfam family "Bacterial large subunit ribosomal RNA", at positions 19 to 2011 of the family's 2925-position model. The record is from RNAcentral.